GCACUGGUGGUUCAGUGGUAGAAUUCUGCCUGCCGCACGGGAGGCCCCAGGUUCAAUUCCCAGCCAAUGCA
RNAcentral lists this transfer RNA (71 nucleotides) under Cricetulus griseus (Chinese hamster). It matches the Rfam family "tRNA". From Rfam's summary of the family: Transfer RNA (tRNA) molecules are approximately 80 nucleotides in length. Their secondary structure includes four short double-helical elements and three loops (D, anti-codon, and T loops). The record is from Rfam by way of RNAcentral. Lineage: Eukaryota; Metazoa; Chordata; Mammalia; Rodentia; Cricetidae.